CAGAUGUGGUCUCGCCGGGUUGCUACUAUGCUGCCUUGGUUAGUCAUUCCUCUUAUAGGAUUGUGGGCUGUUUCACCACUUCUGGCACCUGCUAUUCGAUUUGAGAUCACCUCACCUAUGCUCGCUUGGGUUUUUGUGCUUUUGGUAACUCUGUUUGCUUGGCGUGUGCGGAUGAAUGUGCAGUCAAGAUUUGGUAGAAAAUGGCAAUUGGGUUGGUGGGUCUAUUGCAGGGAAAUCAGUGGAAGAAUAGGAGUGGGUAUUUCGGAGGCGAUGAGAAUUAUUUUGCUGAGAAAUCUUAUUCAGGUUAGUCAGCCCAAAGUCCAAGAUACAUACCUUAUAGCAAAGUCAUCAUUUAUGCUUAGGACGAUGAGAAUGAAGAUAGUGAUGAGGGAACUGGCGCAGCCUUUGCAUUUCAUGUACUCGGUGGAAUUUUGGAGGAUGGCCGUGUUUUGGACAAUCUCUCUCCUUGCCUCAUAUUUGCAGUUGUUUUUCCAAAAGGCAUUUAGGCAGAGUUCUGAUGCCUAUCCCCGUUGCCUUCCUCCAAGAAAUGGGCCCAGCAGACCCCUUUGCAUCAUUACUGGUGCUACAUCUGGUCUAGGUGCGGCUGCUGCAUAUGCUCUUUCAAAAGAAGGUUUUUUUAUUGUUCUUGUUGGACGGUCAUCUAAAUUGUUACGUGAGACUGUGGAGAGGAUAAAAAAACAGAAUGAGGAUGCCCAGCUCAAAGUUUUUGAGGUUGACAUAUCAUCUUUCCAGUCAAUCUUAAAGUUCAAAAGCUCACUGGAGAAGUGGCUCUUGGAUUCCUUUAUGCAUUCUUCCAUCCAACUCCUGAUAAACAAUACUGGGAUAUUGGCAACAUCACAUCGUCCCACUGUUGAAGGCUAUGAUCAGAUGAUGGCUGCAAAUUACAUCGGUGCAUUCUCUCUGACCAAAUUUCUAUUGCCACUUCUGAGAAACAGCCCUGUUGGUUCACGGAUAGUGAAUGUUACAUCCUUUACACAUCGAAGUGUAUUUUCCAUGCAGGUUGACAAGGAAACUGUUGCUGGGAAGUGCUUCUCUAAAUCGAAACUAUAUCCAUAUGCUCAUAUCUAUGAGCAUUCCAAAUUAUGCAUACUGCUGUUCUCAUACCAGCUUCAUCGGCAACUGCACUUGAUGGAUAAAUCUUGUCGAGUCUCUGUCAAUGCUGCAGAUCCUGGGGCAGUGCAAACCAAUAUCAUGAGAGAAAUUCCUUCUUGUCUUUCACAUGUGACAUUUGUACUAUUGAAACUUCUCGGCCUUUUGCAGUCACCUAAUAAUGGGGUUAGCUCUAUUCUUGAUGCUGCCCUUGCACCACCAGAAACAUCUGGGGUAUACUUUUUU
RNAcentral lists this unclassified non-coding RNA (1356 nucleotides) under Hevea brasiliensis (rubber tree). The record is from RNAcentral. Lineage: Eukaryota; Viridiplantae; Streptophyta; Magnoliopsida; Malpighiales; Euphorbiaceae.